This 1408-nucleotide ribosomal RNA is filed under the name uncultured bacterium. RNAcentral's name for it is "bacterial SSU rRNA". It matches the Rfam family "Bacterial small subunit ribosomal RNA". The record is from RNAcentral.
AGAGUUUGAUCCUGGCUCAGGAUGAACGCUAGCGACAGGCUUAACACAUGCAAGUCGAGGGGCAGCGGUGGUGAAGGCUUGCCUUUACCAGCCGGCGACCGGCGCACGGGUGAGUAACACGUAUGCAACCUGCCUGCCACAGCCGGAUAAUCGGGAGAAAUUCCGUCUAAUACGGCAUAAUGCACCUAUGGGACAUCCUGUUGGUGCCAAAGGUUGAUUCCGGUGGCGGAUGGGCAUGCGUCGCAUUAGUUAGUUGGCGGUGUAACGGACCACCAAGACGACGAUGCGUAGGGGUUCUGAGAGGAAGGUCCCCCACACUGGUACUGAGACACGGACCAGACUCCUACGGGAGGCAGCAGUGAGGAAUAUUGGUCAAUGGGCGGGAGCCUGAACCAGCCAAGUCGCGUGAGGGAUGACGGCCCUAUGGGUUGUAAACCUCUUUUGCCGGGGAGCAAAGUGCCGCACGUGUGCGGUUUGGAGAGUACCCGGAGAAAAAGCAUCGGCUAACUCCGUGCCAGCAGCCGCGGUAAUACGGAGGAUGCGAGCGUUAUCCGGAUUUAUUGGGUUUAAAGGGUGCGUAGGCGGACGCUUAAGUCAGCGGUAAAAUUGCGGGGCUCAACCCUCGUCGAGCCGUUGAAACUGGGUGCCUUGAGUGGGCGAGAAGUACGCGGAAUGCGUGGUGUAGCGGUGAAAUGCAUAGAUAUCACGCAGAACUCCGAUUGCGAAGGCAGCGUACCGGCGCCCAACUGACGCUGAAGCACGAAGGCGUGGGUAUCGAACAGGAUUAGAUACCCUGGUAGUCCACGCAGUAAACGAUGAAUGCUAGUUGUCCGGGGCGAUUGAGUUCUGGGUGACACAGCGAAAGCGUUAAGCAUUCCACCUGGGGAGUACGCCGGCAACGGUGAAACUCAAAGGAAUUGACGGGGGCCCGCACAAGCGGAGGAACAUGUGGUUUAAUUCGAUGAUACGCGAGGAACCUUACCCGGGCUCAAACGCAGGAGGGAUGUUUUUGAAAGGAGGCAGCCAGCAAUGGUCUCCUGCGAGGUGCUGCAUGGUUGUCGUCAGCUCGUGCCGUGAGGUGUCGGCUUAAGUGCCAUAACGAGCGCAACCCCUACCUACAGUUGCCAUCGCGUGAUGGCGGGCACUCUGUGGGGACUGCCUGCGCAAGCAGUGAGGAAGGCGGGGAUGACGUCAAAUCAGCACGGCCCUUACGUCCGGGGCGACACACGUGUUACAAUGGCAGGUACAGCGGGAAGCCACCCGGCGACGGGGCGCGGAACCCGAAAACCUGUCUCAGUUCGGAUUGGAGUCUGCAACCCGACUCCAUGAAGCUGGAUUCGCUAGUAAUCGCGCAUCAGCCACGGCGCGGUGAAUACGUUCCCGGGCCUUGCACACACCGCCCGUCAAG